Molecule: long non-coding RNA, 4427 nt
Organism: Parasteatoda tepidariorum (common house spider)
Lineage: Eukaryota; Metazoa; Arthropoda; Arachnida; Araneae; Theridiidae
Source: RefSeq, a predicted model, not a curated record
GGACUGCAUGUAGACGCAGAAGGUGAAUAUUCAACUGAAAGCUUCACUGAAGUGCUGAUUUCUGAUUCUUACAUAACUCAAAAUGGUUCUUAUGGAAUGUUCUUGAACAAUGUCCCAAUGACAGACAUAUCAUUGCAGAGACCGAGUGGCGAUUUCACGAUUCUCAUUUUUUUCCGUGGUUAAGACAUACUGUCGAGAAGAGUGGUAUUGGUAGUAACGGAGAAAAGGGUAUUAGCGUCUCCUCGACCUGCAAAAGUAAUGUUUUCAAGGCAAGAUCUUUUCAAGAAGAGUUGCCUAAACCAGAAGAGCUUAACUAUUCAGCCUUAAGUGAGCUUCUGAACGUGGUUAACUUGAGCAUGGAACGGGAAACACAGCAUCUCUACAAUUAACAUUCUCCCCUUCAUUUUCUGCCUUUAAGUUGUAUAAUAAAAACCAGAAUUCAAGAAGUUGAUCUAAACAGAUUUUUUGAGAAUCUAUGAAAGAAAAUUCUUUAAAAUUAUAUUGAUUGACUAAUAUAAUAUUUUAAUGUGACUAUUUUUCUAUAAACAGUAAUUGAUUUUUUUUUUCAUUCAUGUUUUUAUAAUUGUGGUGUAUUUUUAUAAGUAAAUAGUGUAAUGUGAGACACCGAAAAUUUCAGUAUUGAAUAAUGAAAAUGUUAUACAUUUCUCUUUUCAUAGCUGCCAACUCUACUGGAUUUUGCCAGUUUCUCCCGCUGUACUGGUCUAAUCCAAUCUCCUAGUUUUUGUACAUUUUAGAAAAGUCCCUAAAAUUAAGUUUCCUAAAAAAUCCCUAUUGAAAUAGAAUUUUUCACAGUUUAUUGCUUUGCGUGAAUAUUUAAAUUAGUGUUACAUAAUGAAGUGAGCUUCAUUUAUAGUAUUCAAUUUGAAACUUUUUUUCUUAUUGAAAAAUUUUUUGGUUUAUUUUUAUUUGGAUUCUCUCUUUUUAAAUUAAUUAAAACAUCUUUAAACUAUCAAUAAUAAAAUACUAUUAAAAAUUGUGAGGUAACAUAAGUUAAAAGCAUUUCAAGUCCGUUUAAUGUCAAUCAUAACUGGUAAAUAUAAAAUUUUUGUAUUUUGAUGACAAUAAAAAUUCCCUAUCUGUAAAAUAUUUAGUAUAUUAUGCAGUAAAUAUCAUAGAAUUUAUAUUUUGUGAAAUCUACAGUAUUUUUUCCAGUCCAUAUUCGCAGCAAUGCUCUUUUGUACUUUGUUCCUACUUUACUAUUUCAGUUUUUAUUUAUUUGCUGUCAAAUAAUUUUUAUGGAGAACUAUUAUAUUUUUGCCCUUUUUUAUACUUUUUAAUUUAGUAUGGUAGCAUAACAUUUCAAAUUUUUUUCCUGUAAAAUACGGUAUUAUUAAAAAUUUGUAGAUUUUCUGCGCAUUUUUAUUGUGUAUGAAUUAUAGAAAAAUAGAAUGUUCUCUCUGUAUCUACUACUUUCACAAGAUCUGACCAGGAAUAAUUUGACCAGAAAUUUUGUAUAAAUUGAAAGUUUCCUAGUUUUUGUGUAAUUUUAAAAAAUUUGCUGAUAUUCGAAAAAUUUGAUUUAAAAAAAAAAAACUCCUUAUAAAAAUAGUUUUUUAUUAAAAUUUUUAUUUUCUUGAGACUUUAACAGGUCUUGAGACUUUGGCAGUCAUAGUCUUUAAAUAUCCUUGAGAAGUGCUCGACUUUCAAUUUUCAUAGGCUAUUGGAAAUAAUUGUAAAUUCUUUGAAGUUGUUUAGAAAUUCUUUAAAAUGAAAAAAUUUGUCACCAAAAAUUUUUCAAGUUACAUUUAAUUAGUGCAAUCAUGGGGCAAAUGUAUGCUCAUAAAAAGGGUUCAUUUUUAAAUAGGAUAACUGUUAUUUUUUUUAUGCCAUGAAGUUCAGAGAACUGGAAGCAAAAAAAUUUUAUUGACCCAUAAAAUUUAAAUUUAAGAAAAAAUUGAGAAAAUUUUCUUGACUAUUGAGUGGGCAUUUAUUGCAAUUAAUUUCAACCUGUGUCGUCUGUUUCAAUGGCAAAAUGUUUUUUUUUCUUAAUUUUUGGAACUUGUUCAUUAAUUGCUAUUAAGUUACUUAAGUAUUUCAAUAUAGAUUUUAAAAUAUUUACAUCCUCUUUAUUUUUUUCCCCCUGAAGCUUUGUGCUUUUUUUUUUCCUUGAAAAUUCUUAAAGCUCUGAAGCUUUAUUUUGAAAAUAGAGAAAGAGAGCCCUGUUUAAAUAAGUAAUAUUAUCAAACAAUAAAGAAAAGAUAAUUUAUAUUAUGAGUUGAAAACUUUUAAAUAUUUUAUUUAUUUAUUUUUAUUGAGAACUUAUUAUUUUUAAAUCAGUUCAAAAUAUUUGUUUAGCUCUGAAAGUGCUAGUCACAGCUAAAUUAAGUGAAUGCAAUUUUUAUUUCUAUUUAAAAUUAUCAUUUGAAAAAUGUAAACAGCAUAAAUAAAAAUAUUUAUAGUCAAGUCUGUCUCAAUCAGACGAAACCUUUUUUUUUUUUUAACUGUAUCUCUCCAACAGAAAAAUUUAUAUUCAUAAUGUUGUUUUUGUUUUUAAUUUUUUUUUAUAAAAAUUUCAGUUUUCAUGAAGUUAUGCCUACUUUUUAUACAGUAUGCAAUAAUUUUUAUAGCACAUAAGUAAUAUCACUAACAGAAAUUAAAAGAAAAUUUAGAGUUUUUAAAAUUAAGCAGAUUUUCAUUUUUUCUUUUGAAAUAUCCCUAAAAUUGUUUUCCUGGAACAUUUUAUGCAUUUCACGACAUUUAUAUAUUAUCCUAAAUUGUUUGUACUGCAAACUAUCAUAAACUAACAUUAUUGCAGCAAAAUUAUAUUUAUAGUUAUUAAAGUAAUAUAGUUUUGGCAUUUUAAUAUUUCCUUUUAUAUUAAAAGAAUUUCCUGUAUAGACCAUUUUGUGUAUUUAAUAGUUACCAAAAAUUAUCUGUUUCAGAAAAUCUAUAAGAGAUUCAUAUCAGAAAAUUUGAUAAAACUGAUAUCUAAACUAGUUUUCUAUUCUUUAGUUCUAUAUAUACAAAAAUUUGUUGGAUUUUGAUUGGGUUGGUUCGCUUAAACAUUGGUUUACGGCAACAUAUGGGUCCUCAUAAUUUUUUUGACGUUGAUGCUAAAAAUAGAUAUCAAAGACAGUAAUUAUAGAACAUUCUGUAUGUAUAUAUAUUUCAUUGUUUGGCUGCUUUUGUAAAGCAUUUAUUUUGGUACAAAGUUAUAUUUUUUUUUCAAAUUGAUUUUCAAUCUUUAUUUAUUUUAAUUUUUAUUUAUUUACAAAAAGAAGCCUAUUUAAUAAUUGCAAACUCUGCAUGCUUGUAUAUGUUUUCUGUUUGUGAUUCUUUUUUCAAAACCAAAAGAUUAUUUAUUUAAAAAUGUUGAAAAUUCGAAGAAAAUCUUUAUAAGAAAUUAUUUUAGCUGUGUGCGCCUGUCACUUGUGUAUCUCGGUACUGCAUGUGCCUGACACUUGUAUUUCUGACCUGUGUACUCCUUUUAUAUAUGCGUUAAAUUUUUAUCAAAUUAUAUUUUGCAAACAAGAUUAAAUACCAAUUUUUUUUGCGUACUUUAGUCUCAGUGUUUGAUAUAUUUUUAUAAAAAUGUCAUUAUUUCUUUAGAAUGUAUAUGUUAAUGAAUAUUUAAUUUUGUAUAAAUGGGAAUGAGCUUACUAGUCAUGGGUGCAAGUCUUCUGUCCCCAGGACGGAUUUCCGUCUUUCUAAAAUGUCCGCGGACGGAAGUAAGACGGAAACAAGACUGACUCGAAGACGGAAAUUGGAAUAUUUUUUUUCUGUCCUUAAAAAUAUUUUUUAGGUCUGCGUUAUUGGUCUACUUUCUUAUGUGCUGUUGUUAUUUUAUCAAAAGACAGAUGAAUAAAUAUUUUUUGUACCGUAUUUAAACUUGAUGUAUUAUGGUAAAGCUUUCUUAGAUAGUUUGCAUAUGUCGAGUGGGUAUUGCGUAUGUUAGGUAUUUCAAUCAAAAAAUUUUCAGUCUUGGCCUUUUUUUCCAACUUGCACCCAUGUUGCUAGUUAAAUCUUAAAAUUGUAUGUAAUGAUAUGAAGAUGAUAAAAUUGUAUGUAUAAAAUGAAAUUGUUAAUUAAAUUAUAAUAUCAUAGUAUAAAUAUCUUACAUCAUGUAUAUUUUGUGACUUAUGAAUUAUAUUAAUCGAAAUUUACAUGAAACUUAUCUACGUAUUAUUAAAAUUAAAAAAAAUUCUUACUUUUAAUUAUUUUAUACAUUAGAUUAUGAUAGUGUAAUCAAUGUUUCUUAUGAAAACAUGGAUUUUGUUAUGUAAAGGCAUUUAUUUUUGACAGAAUUUUAUAUGAAAUUUUGAGCAUGUUUUGACAAUAAUUUAAUAAGAAAAUAUAUACUAAAAUAUUCUGGAAUAAUGUAUGAUGAAGUUUUUAUUUAUUGAAAUGUACAAUGAUUAUUUAUCAUUAUUCAUUCAACUUACCAAUAAAUACUUAGACUAUAAAAA